Molecule: ribosomal RNA, 460 nt
Filed under: Segatella oulorum
Lineage: Bacteria; Pseudomonadati; Bacteroidota; Bacteroidia; Bacteroidales; Prevotellaceae
Description: bacterial SSU rRNA
Rfam family: Bacterial small subunit ribosomal RNA
Source: RNAcentral
GAUGAACGCUAGCUACAGGCUUAACACAUGCAAGUCGAGGGGAAACGAUGAGAGAGCUUGCUCUCUUAGGCGUCGACCGGCGCACGGGUGAGUAACGCGUAUCCAACCUGCCCAUUACAGGGGAAUAACCUUGCGAAAGUAAGACUAAUGCCCCAUGGUAUUCUCAGCAGACAUCUAAUGAGGAUUAAAGAUUUAUCGGUAAUGGAUGGGAAUGCGUCUGAUUAGCUUGUUGGCGGGGUAACGGCCCACCAAGGCGACGAUCAGUAGGGGUUCUGAGAGGAAGGUCCCCCACAUUGGAACUGAGACACGGUCCAAACUCCUACGGGAGGCAGCAGUGAGGAAUAUUGGUCAAUGGGCGAGAGCCUGAACCAGCCAAGUAGCGUGCAGGAAGACGGCCCUAUGGGUUGUAAACUGCUUUUAUAGGGGAAUAAAGGAUCCACGUGGGAUUAUUGUAUGUACC